GACGAACGCUGGCGGCGUGCUUAACACAUGCAAGUCGAGCGGUAAGGCCCUUUCGGGGGUACACGAGCGGCGAACGGGUGAGUAACACGUGGGUGACCUGCCCUCAGCUCUGGGAUAAGCCUGGGAAACCGGGUCUAAUACCGGAUAUGACUCCAUGACGCAUGUUGUGGGGUGAAAGCCUUGUGCGGCUGAGGAUGGGCCCGCGGCCUAUCAGCUUGUUGGUGGGGUGANGGCCUACCAAGGCGACGACGGGUAGCCGGCCUGAGAGGGCGACCGGCCACACUGGGACUGAGACACGGCCCAGACUCCUACGGGAGGCA
Molecule: ribosomal RNA, 320 nt
Filed under: uncultured bacterium
Lineage: Bacteria
Description: bacterial SSU rRNA
Rfam family: Bacterial small subunit ribosomal RNA
Source: RNAcentral